Molecule: ribosomal RNA, 743 nt
Filed under: uncultured bacterium
Lineage: Bacteria
Description: bacterial SSU rRNA
Rfam family: Bacterial small subunit ribosomal RNA
Source: RNAcentral
CUACACAUGCAAGUCGAGCGAGGAAGCCCUUUCGGGGGUGGAAUAGCGGCGGACGGGUGAGUAACACGUGGGUAACCUGCCUCAAAGAGGGGGAUAGCCUCCCGAAAGGGAGAUUAAUACCGCAUAGAAGGUAAAAACCGCAUGGAGGAUACCUUAAAGGAGAAAUCCGCUUUGAGAUGGGCCCGCGUCGCAUUAGCUAGUUGGAGGGAUAAAAGCCCCCCAAGGCGACGAUGCGUAGCCGACCUGAGAGGGUGAACGGCCACAUUGGAACUGAGAAACGGUCCAGACUCCUACGGGAGGCAGCAGUGGGGAAUAUUGCACAAUGGGCGAAAGCCUGAUGCAGCAACGCCGCGUGAGUGAAGAAGGUUUUCGGAUCGUAAAGCUCUGUCAUCCGGGACGAUAAUGACGGUACCGGAAGAGGAAGCCACGGCUAACUACGUGCCAGCAGCCGCGGUAAUACGUAGGUGGCGAGCGUUGUCCGGAAUUACUGGGCGUAAAGGGUGUGCAGGCGGAUAUUUAAGUGAGAUGUGAAAGACCCGGGCUUAACCCGGGCAGUGCAUUUCAAACUGGAUAUCUAGAGUGCAGGAGAGGAGAACGGAAUUCCUAGUGUAGCGGUGAAAUGCGUAGAGAUUAGGAAGAACACCAGUGGCGAAGGCGGUUCUCUGGACUGUAACUGACGCUGAGGCACGAAAGCGUGGGUAGCAAACAGGAUUAGAUACCCUGGUAGUCCACGCCGUAAACGA